UGCCGCCGCCGCGGUAAUACAGAGGGUGCAAGCGUUAAUCGGAAUCACUGGGCGUAAAGCGCACGUAGGCGGAUAAGUAUGUUGGCUGUGAAAGCCCCGGGCUCAACCUGGGAAUGCCAGCCAAAACUGCUUGUCUAGAGUACAGUAGAGGAGAGUGGAAUUUCAGGUGUAGCGGUGAAAUGCGUAGAUAUCUGAAGGAACACCAGUGGCGAAGGCGACUCUCUGGCCUGAUACUGACGCUGAGGUGCGAAAGCGUGGGGAGCGAACAGGAUUAGAUA
This 278-nucleotide ribosomal RNA is filed under the name uncultured bacterium. RNAcentral describes it as "partial 16S ribosomal RNA". It matches the Rfam family "Bacterial small subunit ribosomal RNA", at positions 506 to 784 of the family's 1533-position model. The record is from RNAcentral.